AGAGUUUGAUCCUGGCUCAGAUUGAACGCUGGCGGCAUGCCUUACACAUGCAAGUCGAACGGCAGCACGAGAGCUUACUCUUGGUGGCGAGUGGCGAACGGGUGAGUAAUAUAUCGGAACGUACCCUAGAGUGGGGGAUAACGUAGCGAAAGUUACGCUAAUACCGCAUACGAUCUACGGAUGAAAGUGGGGGAUCGCAAGACCUCAUGCUCAUGGAGCGGCCGAUAUCUGAUUAGCUAGUUGGUGGGGUAAAAGCUCACCAAGGCGACGAUCAGUAGCUGGUCUGAGAGGACGACCAGCCACACUGGAACUGAGACACGGUCCAGACUCCUACGGGAGGCAGCAGUGGGGAAUUUUGGACAAUGGGCGCAAGCCUGAUCCAGCAGUGCCGCGUGAGUGAAGAAGGCCUUCGGGUUGUAAAGCUCUUUUGUCAGGGAAGAAACGGUGGACUCUAAUACAGAUCACUAAUGACGGUACCUGAAGAAUAAGCACCGGCUAACUACGUGCCAGCAGCCGCGGUAAUACGUAGGGUGCAAGCGUUAAUCGGAAUUACUGGGCGUAAAGCGUGCGCAGGCGGUUGUGCAAGACAGAUGUGAAAUCCCCGGGCUCAACCUGGGAAUUGCAUUUGUGACUGCACGGCUAGAGUGUGUCAGAGGGGGGUAGAAUUCCACGUGUAGCAGUGAAAUGCGUAGAGAUGUGGAGGAAUACCGAUGGCGAAGGCAGCCCCCUGGGAUAACACUGACGCUCAUGCACGAAAGCGUGGGGAGCAAACAGGAUUAGAUACUCUGGUAGUCCACGCCCUAAACGAUGUCUACUAGUUGUCGGGUCUUAAUUGACUUGGUAACGCAGCUAACGCGUGAAGUAGACCGCCUGGGGAGUACGGUCGCAAGAUUAAAACUCAAAGGAAUUGACGGGGACCCGCACAAGCGGUGGAUGAUGUGGAUUAAUUCGAUGCAACGCGAAAAACCUUACCUACCCUUGACAUGUCUGGAAUCCUUGAGAGAUCAGGGAGUGCUCGAAAGAGAAUCAGAACACAGGUGCUGCAUGGCUGUCGUCAGCUCGUGUCGUGAGAUGUUGGGUUAAGUCCCGCAACGAGCGCAACCCUUGUCAUUAGUUGCUACGAAAGGGCACUCUAAUGAGACUGCCGGUGACAAACCGGAGGAAGGUGGGGAUGACGUCAAGUCCUCAUGGCCCUUAUGGGUAGGGCUUCACACGUCAUACGAUGGUACAUACAGAGGGCCGCCAACCCGCGAGGGGGAGCUAAUCCCAGAAAGUGUAUCGUAGUACGGAUUGUAGUCUGCAACUCGACUACAUGAAGUUGGAAUCGCUAGUAAUCGCGGAUCAGCAUGUCGCGGUGAAUACGUUCCCGGGUCUUGUACACACCGCCCGUCACACCAUGGGAGCGGGUUUCACCAGAAGUGGGUAGCCUAACCGCAAGGAGGGCGCUCACCACGGUGGGAUUCGUGACUGGGGUGAAGUAGUAACAAGGUA
RNAcentral lists this ribosomal RNA (1491 nucleotides) under metagenome. RNAcentral's name for it is "bacterial SSU rRNA". It matches the Rfam family "Bacterial small subunit ribosomal RNA". The record is from RNAcentral.